ACCAAUUCUGGGGGAUAAACAAUUCCUCUCAGGCAUAAUGGCUUAGAUGCAAUAUCUUGGAGUGGUUAUAUCCUGAUCAAUGGAUUCGUUUUACUAGUGCCAUUUUAUCCUGGAAACGCCACUUACAUCU
Lycium ferocissimum is the source of this 130-nucleotide small nucleolar RNA. The record is from RefSeq and is a predicted model, not a curated record. NCBI's taxonomy places the organism in Eukaryota, Viridiplantae, Streptophyta, Magnoliopsida, Solanales, Solanaceae.